AACGCUGGCGGCGUGCCUAAUACAUGCAAGUCGAACGGCUUUUCUAUGGAAGCUUGCUUCCAACUGAGAAGAUAGUGGCGAACGGGUGAGUAACACGUGGGUAACCUGCCCAUAAGAGGGGGAUAACAUCGGAAACGGGUGCUAAUACCGCAUAGUUUUCUUGAUCGCAUGAUCGGGAAAGGAAAGACGGCCUUUGUGCUGUCGCUUAUGGAUGGACCCGCGGCGUAUUAGUUAGUUGGUGAGGUAACGGCUCACCAAGACGAUGAUACGUAGCCGACCUGAGAGGGUGAUCGGCCACAUUGGGACUGAGACACGGCCCAAACUCCUACGGGAGGCAGCAGUAGGGAAUCUUCCGCAAUGGACGAAAGUCUGACGGGAGCAACGCCGCGUGAGUGAAGAAAGGUUUUCGGAUCGUAAAACUCUGUUGUCAGAGAAGAACAAGUUGGAGAGUAACUGCUCCAGCCUUGACGGUAUCUGACCAGAAAGCCACGGCUAACUACGUGCCAGCCGCAGC
RNAcentral lists this ribosomal RNA (514 nucleotides) under uncultured bacterium. RNAcentral's name for it is "bacterial SSU rRNA". It matches the Rfam family "Bacterial small subunit ribosomal RNA", at positions 32 to 518 of the family's 1533-position model. The record is from RNAcentral.